GUUGGAGUCACAGGGGCCAAUAACUCAUCACCCCAGCACUUCGGAGGUGGCUCCCCGUGCCACGGACUCCGAGGAGUCCUUCAUCUACUGAACACUCAAAGCUGAGGAGACGCCGCCAGGAGAGCAAGUCCGCGUUUCCCAGCAAGGGAAGUGCAGCGUCCGUUACACUUGGGAAGUCUUACAGCUUUUCCUGCGCCCGGUGACCCUGCUCAGGACCCUCUUAGAGAAGACUAGGUGUGCUCAGCGCGAGGAGGAUAUACUCCAUUGCCCUUUCCUGGGAAGAACGAGGAGCGCCCGAGCGGCGCGGGGUGGUGGAGGCAAACCCCGGCCCACAGCGGCGCGCUCUGCGCCUGCGCGGCGUUUCCUUGGCGACCGAGCAGUGGGUCCGAGACGCCACCCCGCGCGCCCCUAAGCCCAGUUCCCUGUUGAGCAUCUGCGACGUCCUCUCCCCUCGUUCCCGAGGCGUUUUCUAUUUGUUUCCGUCUGCGAAUCAAUUUGUGAUCACAUUAUGACGUUGAGAGUUCAGCAUUAAAUAAAAAAAAAAAAAAAAAAAAAAAAAAAAAAAACCAACUUUUCCCUUCCCUUGUUACCGUUUUGAUCACGGACAGAAGAAAAUGGUGAGAGAUUAGUUAUUAGGGCAGCAAUUGAAAUCCCCCUCUAUCCCGAAAAGUGGAGACGAAUAAAACAUUUACUUCCUGGUAAGGAGUUAAAAAAUUCAGUGAAGUGAUUGUUCUCAAGCGUUACAAGGACAAAUCUGUGCCUCCUAACCCAAGUGAAGAGCAGGGCUUGUACAACCCAGCAGCACCCAUGCCCUGUUUAUUGGCAUGUUUAUGACAAGGAGAUACGCUGCGAAAGGGACCAGAGUAUAAUGCCAAUGAAAAGAAACAAAGGCUUUCCC
Molecule: long non-coding RNA, 898 nt
Filed under: Rhinopithecus roxellana (golden snub-nosed monkey)
Lineage: Eukaryota; Metazoa; Chordata; Mammalia; Primates; Cercopithecidae
Description: lncRNA (ENSRROG00000046062.1)
Source: RNAcentral